Molecule: long non-coding RNA, 457 nt
Filed under: Sus scrofa (pig)
Lineage: Eukaryota; Metazoa; Chordata; Mammalia; Artiodactyla; Suidae
Description: lncRNA (ENSSSCG00050035278.1)
Source: RNAcentral
AGGGUAGUGUGCUAGAGACUGUUGAGGGGAGGAGGCCGCACCCUUGGGGAGAUGGGGAGAGGUUCUCUAGGGAGACAUUUUACUGAGACCUGAAUGGUACGUCAGUUACAUUUUCUUGUGUAAUUACUAGAUUAGUUUCUGCUUCUCCCACUCAGGUGCAAACUCCACAAUAGCAAAGACUACGACAGUUUUGCUAAGAAAUUCUGUAUCUUAGAAGAUCCUCAAGAAAUAUUUUGAGUAAAUAAGUGCCUGUCUUUUGAGAAUUGCCUGGGAACUCCAGAGCAGUCAAUGCAGCCACUUUCUGGAACAUUAUAUAACCAAAAAAAAGGAUCCAGCUCUUACGCUUAACUCUACGUACCAUGCCGAUGAAGACUGUUUCAUUUUGAAUUGUAUAUUCAGCAUGUGGCUUGGUGCCUGGCACAAAGUAAGCUUUCAUUAAAUCUUUAUCAAAAUAGUG